GAUGAACGCUGACAGAAUGCUUAACACAUGCAAGUCGAUGGGGAAGUGGUGCUUGCACCAUGGUAACCAUGGCGGACGGGUGAGUAACGCGUAAGGAACUUGCCUGCGGGACUGGGAUAACAGCAGGAAACUGCUGAUAAUACCGGAUAAGGUCAUUAAGCUGCAUAGCUUAGUGAUGAAAGGAGACGCCUGCGGAGAGCCUUGCGUCCUAUUAGCUAGUUGGAGGGGUAACGGCCCACCAAGGCGAAGAUAGGUAGCCGGCCUGAGAGGGUGGACGGCCACAAGGGAACUGAGAUACGGCCCUUACUCCUACGGGAGGCAGCAGUGGGGAAUAUUGGACAAUGGGGGCAACCCUGAUCCAGCAAUUCUGUGUGCACGAAGACGGUUUUCGGAUUGUAAAGUGCUUUCAGCAGGGAAGAAGGAAGUGACGGUACCUGCAGAAGAAGCGACGGCUAAAUACGUG
RNAcentral lists this ribosomal RNA (463 nucleotides) under uncultured bacterium. RNAcentral's name for it is "partial 16S ribosomal RNA". It matches the Rfam family "Bacterial small subunit ribosomal RNA", at positions 28 to 507 of the family's 1533-position model. The record is from RNAcentral.